GUGCUCGCUUCAGCAGCACAUAUACUAAAAUUGGAACAAUACAGAGAAGUUUAGCAUGGCCCCUGUGCAAGGAUGACACGCAAAUUCGUGAAGUGUUCCAUAUUUCA
Notechis scutatus (mainland tiger snake) is the source of this 107-nucleotide small nuclear RNA. Lineage: Eukaryota; Metazoa; Chordata; Lepidosauria; Squamata; Elapidae. The record is from Ensembl.